Long non-coding RNA from Amaranthus tricolor (Joseph's coat), 1365 nucleotides. RefSeq lists it as uncharacterized. The record is from RefSeq and is a predicted model, not a curated record. The transcript is spliced from 4 exons. Lineage: Eukaryota; Viridiplantae; Streptophyta; Magnoliopsida; Caryophyllales; Amaranthaceae.
CUGGUUUCUUUUUGAACUGCUAUCAUUUGCAUUUUGGCACACCUAUUAUUUGGAUAUUGUACUUGUAGAGUUGUACCUAUGUUUAGCAUGCCUGUAUAUUUAGUACUUGGCACUAGGCAUAUGAAGUAUAUAGUUUAAACUUCCAGCUUGGUGUUUUUCUGCCACUACUGCUUGUAUUAUCCCAGUCUCUGAUAGAAAAGAAGUUCUGAAGGGAAGUGUUGUACAAAUUUAACCUAAUGAACCUGCAGUUCUUGUUAUCUUCCCUUUAGCAUAGAGUUGUCAGCUUGGUCUGGUUGGUUGUGGGGUCUUUAUGGGUUAGGCCAUACACUUAUACCUGGUUUAGCUCAUGAUGAGCAGGUAUAUUUAUGCCUGUUGAAUCAGGUGUGUGUUGCUUCAUGUUCAAGUCUGUUGGUUUCCUGUUCAGCUCAAUUUUGAUUAGCUUUAAUUUUAUACUUUCUGCAUCUAGUCUUGCCAAACCAUACCCCUUUGUCUCAUCUACUUUGUUCGACAAUUGAUCGUUUUAUUAUACCAUUUCCACAAUGGAUCAAUGCUUGAUUGCCUAAAAUAAAAUGCCCAGGUACAUGCUUCAUUCAUCUGGGGAGGUUUGUUUCACUGUUUGUCUUUAUUGAAACUUGUAUAUUUUCAGCAAUAUUAGUAUUUUUUUUUCAUGAGAUUUCAUGAUGAUUGUUGGCAAGUUCAUCCUGUAGCUACUGAAUUAUCUAUAUACUUUAUUUUCUUCAUUUGGGGAUUUGCAGGUUUUAUGAAGGGGCUAUUGAACACUUUGAUCAUUCUACCGGAAAGCAUAAGGUUGUUUAUACUGACAGUGAUGUGGAGUUUCUCAAGCUCGAGAGGCAGAAGUGGAAACAGAUCCUAGAAGAUCCCGUGCCUGAUGAGAAGCUUUCAAGAGGUGGUGAAAGUCCUGAUGAAGCCACUGAAAUAAUUGAUGGCAAUAACUCGACUUGCAUAUGGAAUUUUCUGGUAGGUUUUCAAUGUUGCUGGUUGAUCUGAACAGCACUUCUGCUGCCCGAAUGUUGUUGUUGGCUUGCAUUCUACACAGCAACAGCAGUUCAUUAGCAGAUACAUCACACAGGUAAAUUUCAAAAAUCUUAUGGUUUCAAGCAAAAUGUAGAGAUACAGAGCCCAGUUGUUGAGGAGAAAGCAAGUAAUGGAGAUUGAAUCCCCCAGAAGCCAUAGAUACUGGACUCGAUCUGUUUAUUCGGAUAAGUGUGCAGUCUCCACGUUUUUCUAUUAGAACUCAAAAUCCAGUAAAGGCUGCAUACUAAUUUGAGAUAAUUCGUAUUGCUACUUCAGAUGUACUGUGUCCAUUGUAUAGUUUUCAAUUUACAAAAAUAAAAUUAAAUAAAA